RNAcentral lists this ribosomal RNA (499 nucleotides) under uncultured bacterium. RNAcentral's name for it is "partial 16S ribosomal RNA". It matches the Rfam family "Bacterial small subunit ribosomal RNA", at positions 28 to 507 of the family's 1533-position model. The record is from RNAcentral.
GACGAACGCUGGCGGCGUGCCUAAUACAUGCCAGUCGAGCGAAGUUUUUCUGGUGCUUGCACUAGAAAAACUUAGCGGCGAACGGGUGAGUAACACGUAAAGAACCUGCCUCAUAGACUGGGACAACUAUUGGAAACGAUAGCUAAUACCGGAUAACAGUAUUUCUCGCAUGGGAGAUAUUUAAAAGUUGGUUAUGCUAACACUAUGAGAUGGCUUUGCGGUGCAUUAGCUAGUUGGUGGGGUAAAGGCCCACCAAGGCGACGAUGCAUAGCCGACCUGAGAGGGUGAUCGGCCACACUGGGACUGAGACACGGCCCAGACUCCUACGGGAGGCAGCAGUAGGGAAUCUUCCGCAAUGGGCGAAAGCCUGACGGAGCAACGCCGCGUGAGUGAAGAAGGAUUUCGGUUCGUAAAGCUCUGUUGUUAGGGAAGAAUGGAUAUGUAGUAACUAUACAUGUAAGAGACGGUACCUAACCAGAAAGCCACGGCUAACUACGUG